UCGAAGAGUGGUGCAUGGCCGUUAACGACGAGUGGAGUGAUCUUUGGGUUAAGUCCGUAAAUUAGUGAGACCUCAGCCGUAAGGGACAGGUGCGCAAAGCACAGGAAGGAUGGGUCAAGGACAGGUCAGUGAUGCCCUUAGAUGGUCCGGGCUGCACGCGCACUAUAGUGGUCGCCGAAAUUACCUGAUAAUUUUAAAGGCGAUCGAGAGGAAAUGAGCUUUGUAAGAGGCUCAGGAACGAGGAAUUGCUAGUAAUCGCGGACUCAUUAAGACGCGAUGAAUACGUCCCUGUUCUUUGUACACACCGCCCGUCGUUAUCGAAGAUGAAGAUAGGCGCGAACGAUCUACCAGAAAGUGAGCGCAGGUCUUUAGAUCUGAUACAAGUCGUAACAAGGUAGCUGUAGGAGAACCUGUAGCUGG
RNAcentral lists this ribosomal RNA (420 nucleotides) under Loma lingcodae. RNAcentral describes it as "SSU rRNA". It matches the Rfam family "Microsporidia small subunit ribosomal RNA", at positions 891 to 1304 of the family's 1311-position model. The record is from RNAcentral. Lineage: Eukaryota; Fungi; Microsporidia; Glugeidae.